UGAGCUAAUCUGCCCUUCUCUUUGGAAUAAAGACGUUGGAAACGACGUCUAAUGCCGAAUACGACCUCCUUUCGCAUGAUCGGAGGUGGAAAGCUCCGGCGGAGAAGGAUGAGCUCGCGGCCUAUCAGCUAGUUGGUGUGGGUAAUGGCCCACCAAGGCGACGACGGGUAGCCGGCCUGAGAGGGUGACCGGCCACACUGGGACUGAGACACGGCCCAGACUCCUACGGGAGGNAGCG
RNAcentral lists this ribosomal RNA (238 nucleotides) under uncultured bacterium. RNAcentral describes it as "partial 16S ribosomal RNA". It matches the Rfam family "Bacterial small subunit ribosomal RNA", at positions 118 to 353 of the family's 1533-position model. The record is from RNAcentral.